Molecule: RNA transcript, 2537 nt
Organism: Dermochelys coriacea (leatherback sea turtle)
Lineage: Eukaryota; Metazoa; Chordata; Testudines; Dermochelyidae
Gene: PPP1R2
Gene name: protein phosphatase 1 regulatory inhibitor subunit 2
Exons: 7
Source: RefSeq, a predicted model, not a curated record
UGCCAUCCCGGGCGCAUGCGCACUGGCCGCGCGGCACGGGCGGCUCUUCUGUGGCGCCUGGCGUGGGCCUGUGAGCGAGCGAAGCGGUCCCGGCCCCGGCCCCGGCCCCGGCCCCGGCCCCGCGUGAGAGGCCCGGCCAUGGCGGCCCCGGCCCCGGCCCCGGCCCCCUCCACCUCGGGCGCGGCGGGGCGCGGGCCCAUCAAAGGCAUCCUGAAGAAGCGGGGCUCAGGCGGCGGCGGCGGCCUUCGCAGCAGCGCGCAGCCUCCGGCGCCGGCGCCGCCCCCGCGCCGCCCCAGCCCCGCGCCCGGGCCCUUCGAGGACGAGCAGGGUAAAAAGUCCCAAAAGUGGGAUGAAAUGAACAUCCUAGCUACAUACCAUCCAGCAGGCAAGGACUAUGGUUUAAUGAAAAUAGAUGAACCAAGCACUCCCUACCAUAGUAUGGUUGGAGAGGACGAUGAAGAUGCAGUGAGUGAUUCAGAAUUGAAUGAACCUGUAACAGCAGAUGUGUUAGCUAAAAAGUUAGUGGCAGCUGAAGGUAAAGGACCCAAGAUUCUAGCUCAAGAAGAAGAGUGCAGGGAAGAGGAGGAGGAGGAGGAGGAUGAGGAUGAAGAGUUAACGCCUGAAGAACGAGAAAAAAAGAAACAGUUUGAAAUGAAGAGAAAAAUGCAUUACAAUGAAGGACGAAAUAUCAAAUUGGCUAGGCAGCUAAUUGCAAAAGAACUACAUGGUGAGGAGGAGGAGGAUGAUGAUGAUCAAGAAAUGCACGAUGCUGGAGAUGAAGAAAACAUGAGUACAGAAAUCCUUGAACCUGGGGAAAGGAGGACACCAGUAGGAAUCUUUGUGACCUUUCUCCAUGGCUUGAAGCUGCCAUCUUCUUUCUGCUCCCUGCUAUAAAGCAGGGAGGCAGCUCCGCUCCCCAGCUGCGCUCUCCAGGGGAAAGACAGGCACGCGUUUGCAGUAUUUUUCCAUCUCUGCUGUUUGACAUCACUCCAUCCUGCUUCAUAAUCUGAUUUCUGAGCUGCAUCUGCACAUGCUACUAGUGACCAGCUGGAGAAUAGAGUGGACAACAUAGAAGAGAUCUGUCCAGAACUGUAACUGCUUGUCAAAGCUACAAACUUAUACAAUGCUUCAUGGUUUUGCGACUCUUAAGUAUUGAGAGGCAUGUCAGUUAUAGUGUUGUAUUGCCAAGAAUGUUAACUUUAGAGACUCGUAUAUUAGGCAGAAAAGCUGCCUAACUGGUUAUUCUUGUGCCUAGUAUUUCAUGGAGAGUACAACUUCAUAAUCCAUCAAACCAGAAAUUUGAGACAAAUUAAAUUGCAUAGCGCAUAUUGUCACCACGUGCUUUAAAACAUACAAAAAAUCAGUAUCUUUUGUAUUGUUGAUUAUUUAUUUGACACUGUUCUAGAUGUGGUGGUAUCUCUUGUAGUAGAAGGGUUUUGGAAUUCAAGAACCAAGCAGUACAGCAAGCAGGUUGAUAUGUACUAGCAGGUGAAUUUAGCAGUUAAAAAGGGAUGAUUUUAGUAGCAUAACUUUUUGUAGAAUUUUUUUGACCUGUUACUCUAGAAGAAGGUAUGUCAUGACUCCUAUUUUCUCAAUCUUUAUAAGAGAAGAGCUGCAUUAUUUUUGUGGUCUAAAAAAAAAUCUGUUUUGAAUCGGUUACUAGUUCCUGACUAAGACAACACUAACAACUGGUGGGAUAUUUGUACACUAGAGAUGUGCAGACCUUGAUUUUGCAUCUAAUUGUGAUGAUCUCUUCCCUUGGGGAUGAAUGGGUUUUGGAACUUUCCUUAUUUGUCUGUUCAGAUCUCAAAACUUCUCUCCAGUAUUUUCCCCCUCAGGCCCCCCAAAUGUCACUCUACUGAUUUCCUUUAAGAUCUGCCUUAAAAUCCUUUGCACCUUCUGACUUGCUGUGAUGUGAACUCAUGCUGCUAGCAUCUGAGGAUAAGUAUUUGUCUGAGCAAAUCUACUUCAGUGCUAUGGAGAUGGAAUGGUGUAGCUUUGUAUCGUGCCAGCCUUCCACUCCGCCUAGUAACUGCUGAUGACCUAAUUCCUUCUUGGGACUUGUAAUCUGUAUAUUGAAAACCACUGGUUUAGAAGUUUCCUGAUCCAAUGUAACUUGCAGCAGCUGCUUUUGUAAGAUGAAAGCUAUUUGGAAGAAUAGAAGGGAGAUUGUCCUAUAAUGUAUAAUUUUUGUGCUGUUAACAGUGUGGUUCUAUAGCCCUGAUGGAGAGAGAGUACUGAACCUACAGAUUACUGUAAACAAUAACAUCCCACUCAAAAGAUCUUGACUAUGGUGUGGAUGUACUGGUAUUCAGAGUAGUACUUGGUUUUAUUCUGCAAAUGAUGUACUCUUAAAGCUGUGGGUUGGUCAUGAAAUAUUUUGUAUUCCAAUUAUGUCUGUAUUUCUCUUAAAUUUGAAUUAAAUCAGAUACGUUCUAAACGUCUGUAAUUAUACGGACCUAUUUUAAAAUGACUUCCUGUCCAAAAUGUAUUUAUGAAGUCUGAAUAAAAGAAUGAAAAAGUUACUUUACAAUUAA